Molecule: long non-coding RNA, 3104 nt
Filed under: Cricetulus griseus (Chinese hamster)
Lineage: Eukaryota; Metazoa; Chordata; Mammalia; Rodentia; Cricetidae
Description: lncRNA (ENSCGRG00015025000.2)
Source: RNAcentral
CUGAGAACCCCCCUAAAAAACCUGAUCUUCGCAUUCUCCCCAGCAUUUGGCCCUUCCUACUUUGGGUCAGGUCUGGCUCCUCGUUCCCGGUGAGCUCUCCCUGGGGGCAAAGUCUGGCCUCGAGUAACCUACAGUGCUUAAAAACAGUGGGGACUCCAAAACGGCUCACAGAAAAAGGCAAUAGGGGUCCUGAACCACUUAUCUUAACCAGGGCUCCUCCUUCCAGGAAUGACUUCCAGGAAAGCCCGCCUCUGGGUGCCUCGCCAGCCCCGACUGUAAAAUGGGAAGACUCUCGAGUCACCGGGUCCCUAGGCCCUUUCCGCUGUGACAACUGGGAUUCCGCGAAAGCUCAAAGCAGACGGGUGCGGCCCCGCCCCCUGGGCACCCAGAAAAGCCCGGGCCGGGGGGCUCUCGCGGAGGACGCCCGCAACCCCGCCCCUCCCCCACGCCGUACACCCCGCUUCCCGGCCCCGGAGCCCGCACUUCCGCGGCGAGCAGGGCGGUCCCGCGCUCCCGCCACCGCAGCGGCCCGCCCCGGGGGAAAUCGGGGGUUUGAGCGGCGCCCGCGGGCCGAGGCUGCGGGAGGAAGCAUUCGCUACUAUACCUGGGGGAGGAGGCGGACGGGGCAGCGGCGGCCGCGACGGCUGGAGGCGGAGGCUCGGGCGGAGGAGGAGGUGCCGGGCACUCCCCCCUCCCAUUGUCCCGGCCCGCGGCCUGCCGCGGCCCGCUCCGCCCGGCCCGCGCCCUCCCCGUGCCCGGUCCCCGCUGCUGGCCCUUACCUUGCAGCGGCCGGCUCUUUCCCGCCGCUAAUGCUACUUAUCCCGGGAAAGCUCGGAGCAGGGCCCGGGAGCGAACCCACAGACAAAAAGUGAAACUUCGGCAGGCCGGGAGCGGCUGCUGGUUGGUGCUCUCCCCCUCCUUCCUCCCCACCCCCCUCCCCGCGGUCUCCCGUGCGGUGCCCUGAGCGCUGGAGGCUGACGUCAGGGGCCUGAAUUCCUGACUUUGCCUGCACGCAUUUGUCCAUGUAAGGCGACAAGUUGGAAGGCUGAGCUUGAGCGAGAAGACCCUGCCAUGGAACACCACCCCCACUCCCACUCCCCACCCUCAUCGCCCCCCCCACCCCAAGAGCCUCGUCCGGGCCCCGCCCAGAACUCCAGCAGAACUCAGAACUACGGGAUGGAAGAGAGCAACUUCGGUUCACUUCACACGUGAGAGCGCCGAAGCUCUCAGGAGCUGGGACCUGACCCAGCUGUACACUGUGCAGAUCUAGAAGCAGAUCCGAUACUCUACUCCCAGCUGGGUUCCUGCCUCCAGGCAGGACCCAAGCUCGGUGCUGUGAGCUCAGACCAAGUUAGACCUGGGCAGAUGACUCGACCACCCACUGAAGUGACUAGCCCCAGUUCCUGGAAGGUUGUGGUUGACAAACCUUGAGUAACAAUGGCAAUCAGGGCCACUUCCUGUCCUUUGUUCAAAGAAAUGAACCUUUGGAGUUUAAAAUUUGCUUCCCAACCCUGCCCUGGCGGAAAACCAGAAAACUUGCUCAGUUCUUGCAGCUUAAAAAAAGAAAAUACACGAACUGGGUGAACUGGUUUGAAUAAAGACAGGCCUGUUCUUGGAAGAUUGGGGUUGGAUUUUUUUUUUUUUUUUUUGGCCUUUGAUACUUGUAAAAGUGAGCAAAGAUGGGAACCGCAUUUACUACGUUAAGAGAUGGACUAGGAGGUACUUGUAGGCCCUCUGGCCCGCAGUAUUGAAAGCUUUUAAUCCCAGCACAAGGGAGGUAGGUCUGUGUGGACCCUGUCACAAACAAAACAACCUCUGAUUUUCUCCUUUUGUGUUUCUAGCCUGUCCCUACACAAAAGAAAUGCCUCACCUCAGCCCACACUAACAACAACCUCAGCACACCCUAAUGGCUUCCCUACCUGUUGCUGCCAUCUCAGGUGGGUUGGGUAGGAUAAAUAUGGUAAAGUGACCCGCAUGACACCCCUGUCUGAGCAGGCUCCUGAACUCUCUCCUACUCUCAAGCCACCUUCCACCCACCCUGGGGUUGGGGGGGGGGUGGGGCUGACCUCCUGCAGCCUAACCCAGUCAUGCACAUACAAAGUACACCAAGAACCAUGGGUAUGCAGGGUGGCUCAAAUGGCCCUUUUCAGGUUAGGUUUUGAUGAGGCUUUUUGACUAAGAAUUAAUCAAGUAAGUGUCAAAGUACAUAUUAUUGUGCUUAGCAUUUAUUGAACAACACCUCUCCUGCGGUCUUCAAACUCGAACACUUCUGGGUUCAAACUACUGAAGCCCUUUGCCCUCUCAACUUCCCCAGCUACGCACUGAAAAGCAGGAAUGCAGCAGAAGCGAAGAUCAAGAGUACCAGGCACCCCACGCAAUAAUGAACUGUUUUCUCUUUACAAUUAACGUGACAUCAGACAGGAAUCAAGAGCUCCUAGAGUUCAGACUUAAAAAGAUCACAAUUGAUUCAUUUCAGCCAGUCUGUGUCCUGGGUGCUACUAUUUAGUGUGGGGAACUCACCCCCGUGCUCAUUUAGACGUAACGGAACUUGACCAGCAUUGCUUGCUUGCUUUUAUUCCCUUCUCAGUAACCCACUUAUAAAGAAUAAUAGGGUUCUAAUGAGGAUUAAUAAAAUUUAAUAAGGUAUAAUUAGAGUCAUUCAUUUCCUCCAUCAUACACCUUAUAAGAGUGCUGUGUUGAUCCAGAAAUGCUGCUAAUUAUGUUGAAACUGUUCUGCGUGUUGGGGAAGAUCACUGUGCCGCUUCUCCUGAAAUACUCAGGAACAAGCUUCCUUCUCCAUUCACCUGGCAACCCUUCGAUCUCCUGUGCAGUGCCAUCCCCCAUGAGGACUCCUCUCUGCCCUGCCACCUCUGGACUACUUUUGGUCUGUUUGAACCUCAAGCCAUAAGACACUGGGCCAAUCUGUUGGCUAUAGUGUCUUUUCCUCCUACUUUACCCAGAGUAUAAUGUAUCCUAGAGUCUCUAACAUCAUUCCUGCCUUGGUCAUUGCAGCAUUCAAAGGUUCAAAAUUGUUCCCCCUUUCUGUUGAUCCUGUCCAACGACAGAGGAAAAUAGAGAAGGUAGAAGGCCUGAAUGUGUAAAUA